GACGAACGCUGGCGGCGUGCUUAACACAUGCAAGUCGAACGUGAUUUUUGUGGAAAGCCCUUCGGGGACGGAAAUGAAAUGAAAGUGGCGAACGGGUGAGUAACACGUGAGCAACCUACCUUACACAGGGGGAUAGCCGUUGGAAACGACGAUUAAUACCGCAUGAGACCACAAAGCCACAUGGCUUAGGGGUAAAAGAUUUAUCGGUGUAAGAUGGGCUCGCGUCUGAUUAGCUAGUUGGAAGGGUAAAGGCCUACCAAGGCAACGAUCAGUAGCCGGUCUGAGAGGAUGAACGGCCACAUUGGAACUGAGACACGGUCCAAACUCCUACGGGAGGCAGCAGUGGGGAAUAUUGCACAAUGGGGGGAACCCUGAUGCAGCGACGCCGCGUGAGCGAAGAAGGUUUUCGAAUCGUAAAGCUCUGUCCUAUGAGAAGAUAAUGACGGUAUCAUAGGAGGAAGCCCCGGCUAAAUACGUGCCAGCAGCCGCGGUAAUACGUAUGUCACGAGCGUUAUCCGGAUUUAUUGGGCGUAAAGCGCGUCUAGGUGGUUAUGUAAGUCUGAUGUGAAAAUGCAGGGCUCAACUCUGUAUUGCGUUGGAAACUGUAUAACUAGAGUACUGGAGAGGUAAGCGGAACUACAAGUGUAGAGGUGAAAUUCGUAGAUAUUUGUAGGAAUGCCGAUGGGGAAGCCAGCUUACUGGACAGAUACUGACGCUAAAGCGCGAAAGCGUGGGUAGCAAACAGG
This 746-nucleotide ribosomal RNA is filed under the name uncultured Parvimonas sp. RNAcentral's name for it is "bacterial SSU rRNA". It matches the Rfam family "Bacterial small subunit ribosomal RNA", at positions 28 to 776 of the family's 1533-position model. The record is from RNAcentral. Lineage: Bacteria; Bacillati; Bacillota; Tissierellia; Tissierellales; Peptoniphilaceae.